This 425-nucleotide ribosomal RNA is filed under the name uncultured bacterium. Its description in RNAcentral is "partial 16S ribosomal RNA". It matches the Rfam family "Bacterial small subunit ribosomal RNA", at positions 354 to 796 of the family's 1533-position model. The record is from RNAcentral.
GUGGGGAAUCUUGCGCAAUGGGCGAAAGCCUGACGCAGCCAUGCCGCGUGAAUGAUGAAGGUCUUAGGAUUGUAAAAUUCUUUCACCGGGGACGAUAAUGACGGUACCCGGAGAAGAAGCUCCGGCUAACUUCGUGCCAGCAGCCGCGGUAAUACGAAGGGGGCUAGCGUUGCUCGGAAUUACUGGGCGUAAAGGGCGCGUAGGCGGACAGCUUAGUCAGAGGUGAAAGCCCAGGGCUCAACCUUGGAAUUGCCUUUGAUACUGGCUGUCUUGAGUUUGGGAGAGGUGAGUGGAACUCCGAGUGUAGAGGUGAAAUUCGUAGAUAUUCGGAAGAACACCAGUGGCGAAGGCGACUCACUGGCCCAAUACUGACGCUGAGGCGCGAAAGCGUGUGGAGCAAACAGGAUUAGAUACCCUAGUAGUCC